Molecule: ribosomal RNA, 277 nt
Filed under: uncultured Alphaproteobacteria bacterium
Lineage: Bacteria; Pseudomonadati; Pseudomonadota; Alphaproteobacteria
Description: partial 16S ribosomal RNA
Rfam family: Bacterial small subunit ribosomal RNA
Source: RNAcentral
UAACACAUGCAAGUCGAACGCAGUAGCAAUACUGAGUGGCAAACGGGUGAGUAUAAUGUGGGAAUCUGCCUUUUGGUUUGGAAUAACACGAGGAAACUUGUGCUAAUACCGGAUAAGCCUUUACAGGGAAAGUUUUAAUGCCAAAAGAUGAGCCCGCACUUGAUUAGCUAGUUGGUAAGGUAAAAGCUUACCAAGGCAACGAUCAAUAGCUGUUCUUAGAGGAAGACCAGCCACAUUGGGACUGAGACACGGCCCAAACUCCUACGGGAGGCAGCAG